Gallus gallus (chicken) is the source of this 110-nucleotide microRNA precursor. The record is from Ensembl. NCBI's taxonomy places the organism in Eukaryota, Metazoa, Chordata, Aves, Galliformes, Phasianidae.
UUACUGAGCUGAGCAGCUCAUUGCUGUGUGAGGAGUGCUGCCGGAGAUGGGGUCGGCUUCUCCACCCCACAGCAAGAGCUGUUAGCUUCACUUCUGCCUGCGGAGCAUAG